Molecule: long non-coding RNA, 588 nt
Organism: Spinacia oleracea (spinach)
Lineage: Eukaryota; Viridiplantae; Streptophyta; Magnoliopsida; Caryophyllales; Amaranthaceae
Exons: 3
Source: RefSeq, a predicted model, not a curated record
UAAUCUGCGACGCAAAUGACUCUUUAAGUCACCUGCGUCGCAGAUUAGUAAUUCUGCGACGCAGAGGAGGUAAAAAAAAUUCGGAAGUUUUUAAUUAUUCCUCACCCACGCGUACUGCACCCUAAUUUGUCGAAGAACAAAACAAACAGGCGCAGCUACCUUCACGACUUCACCCUCAUCCUCCAUCGAUCUUCGAUCUUCUUCACCCUCAUCCUCCAUCGAUCUUCUUCACCCUACACCAGGCGCAGCUACAUUUAGAGAGAGUUUCGCUGGAACCGUAGGCCACAGCCGCCGCCGCCGCCGCCUCCAUUGGAGAAUGCCCACUGAAUAGGAAUCGAUCCCUGUCUCCAUCAGUGGUUUGGCUGAAUUGAGUCUCGUUUGGGAGUAAGAAGAUUUACUCCGAUGGCGAAUAUGCCGGAGAAAUUGAACCAGUGUAAGCUUGAUGCUCGCCGUGAACAAUGCCUUUCGCAAGGUCCUGCAUUCAUUUUCUUUUCUUUUUUUGAUUUUUACAGUUCUGUAUUUUUCUUGCAUAAAUUAAAUUGGAAUCUUGCAUCCACUAAUUAUCUAGAGCUUGCUCUCUUUUUUUCA